RNAcentral lists this ribosomal RNA (465 nucleotides) under Vreelandella stevensii. Its description in RNAcentral is "partial 16S ribosomal RNA". It matches the Rfam family "Bacterial small subunit ribosomal RNA", at positions 338 to 795 of the family's 1533-position model. The record is from RNAcentral. Lineage: Bacteria; Pseudomonadati; Pseudomonadota; Gammaproteobacteria; Oceanospirillales; Halomonadaceae.
CCUACGGGUGGCAGCAGUGGGGAAUAUUGGACAAUGGGGGGAACCCUGAUCCAGCCAUGCCGCGUGUGUGAAGAAGGCCCUCGGGUUGUAAAGCACUUUCAGUGAGGAAGAACGCCUGGUGGUUAAUACCCAUCAGGAAAGACAUCACUCACAGAAGAAGCACCGGCUAACUCCGUGCCAGCAGCCGCGGUAAUACGGAGGGUGCGAGCGUUAAUCGGAAUUACUGGGCGUAAAGCGCGCGUAGGUGGCUUGAUAAGCCGGUUGUGAAAGCCCCGGGCUCAACCUGGGAACGGCAUCCGGAACUGUCAAGCUAGAGUGCAGGAGAGGAAGGUAGAAUUCCCGGUGUAGCGGUGAAAUGCGUAGAGAUCGGGAGGAAUACCAGUGGCGAAGGCGGCCUUCUGGACUGACACUGACACUGAGGUGCGAAAGCGUGGGUAGCAAACAGGAUUAGAUACCCGAGCAGUC